RNAcentral lists this ribosomal RNA (1486 nucleotides) under uncultured bacterium. RNAcentral describes it as "16S ribosomal RNA". It matches the Rfam family "Bacterial small subunit ribosomal RNA". The record is from RNAcentral.
UGGCUCAGAUUGAACGCUGGCGGCAGGCCUAACACAUGCAAGUCGAACGGUAACAGGAAGCAGCUUGCUGCUUUGCUGACGAGUGGCGGACGGGUGAGUAAUGUCUGGGAAACUGCCUGAUGGAGGGGGAUAACUACUGGAAACGGUGGCUAAUACCGCAUAACGUCGCAAGACCAAAGAGGGGGACCUUCGGGCCUCUUGCCAUCAGAUGUGCCCAGAUGGGAUUAGCUUGUUGGUGAGGUAACGGCUCACCAAGGCGACGAUCCCUAGCUGGUCUGAGAGGAUGACCAGCCACACUGGAACUGAGACACGGUCCAGACUCCUACGGGAGGCAGCAGUGGGGAAUAUUGCACAAUGGGCGCAAGCCUGAUGCAGCCAUGCCGCGUGUAUGAAGAAGGCCUUCGGGUUGUAAAGUACUUUCAGCGGGGAGGAAGGUGUUGCGGUUAAUAACCGCAGCAAUUGACGUUACCCGCAGAAGAAGCACCGGCUAACUCCGUGCCAGCAGCCGCGGUAAUACGGAGGGUGCAAGCGUUAAUCGGAAUUACUGGGCGUAAAGCGCACGCAGGCGGUCUGUCAAGUCGGAUGUGAAAUCCCCGGGCUCAACCUGGGAACUGCAUUCGAAACUGGCAGGCUUGAGUCUUGUAGAGGGGGGUAGAAUUCCAGGUGUAGCGGUGAAAUGCGUAGAGAUCUGGAGGAAUACCGGUGGCGAAGGCGGCCCCCUGGACAAAGACUGACGCUCAGGUGCGAAAGCGUGGGGAGCAAACAGGAUUAGAUACCCUGAUAGUCCACGCCGUAAACGAUGUCUACUUGGAGGUUGUGCCCUUGAGGCGUGGCUUCCGGAGCUAACGCGUUAAGUAGGCCGCCUGGGGAGUACGGCCGCAAGGUUAAAACUCAAAUGAAUUGACGGGGGCCCGCACAAGCGGUGGAGCAUGUGGUUUAAUUCGAUGCAACGCGAAGAACCUUACCUGGUCUUGACAUCCACAGAAGAAUCCAGAGAUGGAUUUGUGCCUUCGGGAACUGUGAGACAGGUGCUGCAUGGCUGUCGUCAGCUCGUGUUGUGAAAUGUUGGGUUAAGUCCCGCAACGAGCGCAACCCUUAUCCUUUGUUGCCAGCGAUUAGGUCGGGAACUCAAAGGAGACUGCCAGUGAUAAACUGGAGGAAGGUGGGGAUGACGUCAAGUCAUCAUGGCCCUUACGACCAGGGCUACACACGUGCUACAAUGGCGCAUACAAAGAGAAGCGACCUCGCGAGAGCAAGCGGACCUCAUAAAGUGCGUCGUAGUCCGGAUUGGAGUCUGCAACUCGACUCCAUGAAGUCGGAAUCGCUAGUAAUCGUGGAUCAGAAUGCCACGGUGAAUACGUUCCCGGGCCUUGUACACACCGCCCGUCACACCAUGGGAGUGGGUUGCAAAAGAAGUAGGUAGCUUAACCUUCGGGAGGGCGCUUACCACUUUGUGAUUCAUGACUGGGGUGAAGUCGUAACAAGG